AUACUUACCUGGCAGGGGAGAUACCACGAUCACCAAGGUGGUUUUCCCAGGGUGAGGCUUAUCCAUUGCACUCCAGAUGUGUUGAUCCCUGCGAUUUCCCCAAAUGAAAAAGAAAAAAGAAAAAACCCACACUUUACUGCACAAAGCCUGCCCGUCUUACUUAUGUUUUUAUAACA
Molecule: small nuclear RNA, 176 nt
Filed under: Propithecus coquereli (Coquerel's sifaka)
Lineage: Eukaryota; Metazoa; Chordata; Mammalia; Primates; Indriidae
Description: U1 spliceosomal RNA (ENSPCOG00000025750.1)
Rfam family: U1 spliceosomal RNA (bases 1-147)
About the family: U1 is a small nuclear RNA (snRNA) component of the spliceosome (involved in pre-mRNA splicing).
Source: RNAcentral